CCUACGGGUGGCAGCAGUAGGGAAUAUUGCUCAAUGGGGGAAACCCUGAAGCAGCCACGCCGCGUGGAGGAUGAAGGUUUUCGGAUUGUAAACUCCUUUUGUUAGGGAAGAUAAUGAUGGUAUCUAACGAAGAAGCACCGGCAAACUCCGUGCCAGCAGCCGCGGUAAUAAGGAGGAUGCGAGCGUUAUCCGGAUGUAUUGGGUUUUAAGGGGGCGCAGGCGGAAGAUCAAGUCAGCGGUAAAAUUGAGAGGCUCAACCUCGUCGAGCCGUUGAAACUGGUUUUCUUGAGUGAGCGAGAAGUAUGCGGAAUGCGUGGUGUAGCGGUGAAAUGCAUAGAUAUCACGCAGAACUCCGAUUGCGAAGGCAGCAUACCGGCGCUCAACUGACGCUCAGGCACGAAAGUGUGGGUAUCGAACAGGAUUAGAUACCCGGGUAGUC
This 439-nucleotide ribosomal RNA is filed under the name uncultured bacterium. RNAcentral's name for it is "partial 16S ribosomal RNA". It matches the Rfam family "Bacterial small subunit ribosomal RNA", at positions 338 to 795 of the family's 1533-position model. The record is from RNAcentral.